UAUGAUGGCGACCGGCGCACGGGUGCGUAACGCGUAUGCAACCUACCUUUUACAGGGGCAUAACACUGAGAAAUUGGUACUAAUUCCCCAUAAUAUCUGAGACGGCAUCGUUUUGGGUUGAAAACUCCGGUGGUAAAAGAUGGGCAUGCGUUGUAUUAGCUAGUUGGUGAGGUAACGGCUCACCAAGGCGACGAUACAUAGGGGGACUGAGAGGUUAACCCCCCACAUUGGUACUGAGACACGGACCAAACUCCUACGGGAGGCAGCAG
Molecule: ribosomal RNA, 269 nt
Filed under: uncultured bacterium
Lineage: Bacteria
Description: partial 16S ribosomal RNA
Rfam family: Bacterial small subunit ribosomal RNA
Source: RNAcentral